This 721-nucleotide ribosomal RNA is filed under the name uncultured bacterium. RNAcentral's name for it is "bacterial SSU rRNA". It matches the Rfam family "Bacterial small subunit ribosomal RNA", at positions 761 to 1482 of the family's 1533-position model. The record is from RNAcentral.
UAGGGGAGCGAAAGGGAUUAGAUACCCCUGUAGUCCUAGCUGUAAACGAUGGAUACUAGGUGUUGGGCGUAUCGACCCGUCCAGUACCGUAGCUAACGCGUUAAGUAUCCCGCCUGGGGAGUACGCACGCAAGUGUGAAACUCAAAGGAAUUGACGGGGGCCCGCACAAGCGGUGGAGGAUGUGGUUUAAUUCGAUGCAACGCGAAGAACCUUACCAAGGCUUGACAUCCUGCGAAUCCUUCAGAGAUGAGGGAGUGCCUUCGGGAGCGCAGAGACAGGUGGUGCAUGGCUGUCGUCAGCUCGUGUCGUGAGAUGUUGGGUUAAGUCCCGCAACGAGCGCAACCCUCGUUCUUAGUUGCCAUCAUUAAGUUGGGCACUCUAGGGAGACUGCCGUGGACAACACGGAGGAAGGUGGGGACGACGUCAGGUCAUCAUGCCCCUUACGUCUUGGGCUACACACGUCCUACAAUGCUACAGACAGAGGGCAGCGAGCGCGCGAGUGCAAGCAAAUCCCAUAAACUGUGGCACAGUUCAGAUUGCAGGCUGCAACUCGCCUGCAUGAAGGCGGAAUCGCUAGUAAUCGCCGGUCAGCAUACGGCGGUGAAUACGUUCCCGGGCCUUGUACACACCGCCCGUCACACCAUGGGAGUUGGCCACGCCCGAAGUCGUUACUCUAACCUUAGGGAGGAGGGCGCCGAAGGCAGGGCUGAUGACUGGGGUG